This 74-nucleotide small nucleolar RNA is filed under the name Cercocebus atys (sooty mangabey). RNAcentral's name for it is "Small nucleolar RNA SNORD113/SNORD114 family (ENSCATG00000017782.1)". It matches the Rfam family "Small nucleolar RNA SNORD113/SNORD114 family". From Rfam's summary of the family: The imprinted human domain at 14q32 contains two clusters of tandemly repeated small nucleolar RNAs named 14q(I) and 14q(II) snoRNAs. These two clusters are named SNORD113 and SNORD114 respectively in the HGNC approved gene symbol nomenclature. The snoRNAs found in both clusters are clearly related and are represented here by a single family. Lineage: Eukaryota; Metazoa; Chordata; Mammalia; Primates; Cercopithecidae. The record is from Rfam by way of RNAcentral. RNAcentral also lists the same sequence under 3 other names.
UGGACCAAUGAUGACCACUGGUGGCGUAUGAGUUAUGCACAUGAAUACCAUGUUUCUAGAAUUCUGAGGUCCAA